This 60-nucleotide transfer RNA is filed under the name Loxodonta africana (African savanna elephant). It matches the Rfam family "tRNA", at positions 6 to 65 of the family's 71-position model. From Rfam's summary of the family: Transfer RNA (tRNA) molecules are approximately 80 nucleotides in length. Their secondary structure includes four short double-helical elements and three loops (D, anti-codon, and T loops). Lineage: Eukaryota; Metazoa; Chordata; Mammalia; Proboscidea; Elephantidae. The record is from Rfam by way of RNAcentral.
GGUGGUUCAGUGGUAGAACUCUUGCCUUCCAUGUGGGAGACCAGGGUUCCAUUCCCUGCC